Molecule: ribosomal RNA, 281 nt
Filed under: uncultured bacterium
Lineage: Bacteria
Description: partial 16S ribosomal RNA
Rfam family: Bacterial small subunit ribosomal RNA
Source: RNAcentral
GUGCCAGCAGCCGCGGUAAUACAUAGGGGUCAAGCGUUGUCCGGAUUUAUUGGGCGUAAAGAGCUCGUAGGCGGUUCAACAAGUCGGUCGUAAAAGUUUAGGGCUCAACCCUAAAAUGUCGAUCGAUACUGUUGUGACUAGGAUACGGUAGAGGUGAAUGGAAUUCCGAGUGUAGCGGUGAAAUGCGUAGAUAUUCGGAAGAACAUCAGUGGCGAAGGCGACUCACUGGUCCGAUACUGACGCUGAGGUGCGAAAGCGUGGGGAGCAAACAGGAUUAGAUA